Molecule: long non-coding RNA, 3084 nt
Organism: Micropterus salmoides (largemouth bass)
Lineage: Eukaryota; Metazoa; Chordata; Actinopteri; Centrarchiformes; Centrarchidae
Exons: 3
Source: RefSeq, a predicted model, not a curated record
GCAGCAGCACCUUCACUUCUAACACUGAGAAGAAAACAGAAGAAGUGGACAGCAUCCAUCAGACAGCUGUCUCCAACAAAGAAGAUGGCUGGCCUGUGCUGGAUGACUGUAACUCUGGCCUUCUUCCUGUCCACUGAAAACAGUUUGGCUGCUGUGGACCAGAACAGGCUUGCAACAAUUGUAAAUGGCAUCUUGAGAGAGUAUGUUCAGCCUGGCUGUAAGGAUCCCGGACAACCAGAACCAAAAAAUGAAAGAUAUUCUUCAGCAUGUGUUUAAAAGUGAUCCAGGCGAAGAUGUGAAGAAUAAGACCACCAGGGUGGUCGCAGCCAAAGCUCUGAAACGUGCCAAUAGAGAAGCUGAUCAUGCGGAGUCACGCGUUGUAAACCACUUGGACCACCUAUUCAACAUUAAUAAUGCUAAUGAUCCUGAUUUGUUGCUUUUCUAUGUUUAUGCCUGUGUUGAAAAAUUUUCAAGUGACACACAUCGUGAGAACAUUCUCCAAAGGAUAAAUUGCAUCCGUCAAUGGGAUAAUUAUGCUGUUGUGUUUUCUACAAUAUUCGGUUUGAUCAAUACUGACAAACACCGUAGUGGAGCCCUUCAACAAUCAUCGAAUGCAGUGAAGCAGCUGCUCUGGUGAUAAUCAAGUUGGGGUGGUAAUGGCGCAAUGGAUAAGACUGGUGUGAGAGACCCAGGGUUCAAUUCCCCACUGUGACCCACCCACCAUUGUGUCCCUGAGCAAGACACUUAACCCCUCAUUGUUAAGGUGUGUGACCUCUGACAUGUAUAGCAAUUGUAAGUCACUUUGGAUAAAAGCGUCAGAUAAAUGCAAGUUGGGCACUAUUGUGUUUCAGAUGACACAAAGCCUGGUCGCAGCUUUGUGUCAUCUUAUUCUAUAAGGCCUCAAAAUGGCAGAGGUGGUUCCUCCUCACAAAUAUGUUUCUAUUUGGGCAAUAGAUGCAGACACAGGUCAAGGUCAGGGUGGCAGUGGAAGAGAAGGGGGCAUGGGCAGAGGAAGGGGUGGCAGAAGAAAAAGAAGCCCUGAUCCUACAGGUGAUGAUGUUUCCUCCUCACAAACUGAUGACAGCGAAAGAAAUUAUUUUACUACAGGUGAAGGUGUUUCCACCUCCCUAAGUGGCACUGAUAAUGGUAAUGGAAAUGAUGGUUCUAAUCCAGGUGAAUGCUUUGGAAUUAUUAGAAAUGAAGGCAGGGGUACUGACACAAAAGAGGACAGGCACAGAGGAGGAAAAGGGAGAGGAAUUGUCAGGGUUUGUGUGGUGAGGCAGAUUGUUGGACCCAAAUGCAGGACGCAGAGCGGAGCAGGUACAGUUCAGAAGGGUUUAUUGUGGCAAAACAAAAGGCGAGCACACUUACUGGCAGAGUGGAUUAAACAGAUAACCAAACGGUGGGAAUGUAACGCUCGAUACUGAUGUGUCGACGCUGUGUCGAGAUCCCGAAGCACAGACGUUUCGAAACACUGCUCCAAAGCGUGGUUCAAAACGUCAAUGUCACGUGACCGCAAUGAAUGAGGCUUCGGUGCGUUUCACCCCUGUUUUGACAGGUUGGACACCUGCUGCUUCUACGCUUGAUUCACAGUGUUUGGAACAAACCACACAUCAGCCUCUAACUCAUUUGACAGAUUUUUUCCAAGGACACACAAUCCUUUGAUUUAUUGGAGCGACGUGCUGUAGUAUAUCCGUACCUGUAGGCUAAAAAAAUACUUUUUGCCAGCAACAAAUGUUCCAUGUCACCAAAUUUUUCCAAGGCUGGGGAUGUCGAUUAUGAAAAAAACACGACUCAGCCACAGCUGAAUAUUUCUGAAUACAAUUCUUGACAUAUAACAAAUGUGAGACAUUUUUUCAUUACCAUUCUUGAAACAACUUCAACUGUACUCAGUUACGGAUUUUUAAUCCAUUACACCUCAUCACUGCCAGCACUCAUUAUUAAUUAUUAUUACACUAGGGCCUAUAUCUUUCCUGCUAAUUAUCAUUACACCUGUUAAUAAGCUACUGUGUAAUACUGUAGAUAUCCACAUUUAUUACUAUAUUCUUAGAUUUGUAUACUUUAUUAUAUUCUCUAUUCAUUAACUUCAACUUCAACAAAGCAUUCACCCUCGUAGAUCAAUAAAGUGUUCUGAUUGUGAAAAUGAAUAGGGUAGUGGUUAAGACAUAUGCCUUUAGUGUGAGAGAUGUGGGUUCGAUUCCUACUGUGAUAUGUGUGUCACUGAGUAAGACAUUUAACCUCUAGUUGCUCCAAAGUGCACCCUCUGACACAGCAAUUGUGAUUUGCUUUGAGAAAAGCGUCCGCUAAAUCAGUGAUUACUUAUUAAACAACACACAGAUGUGUUUUAUUAAAAAGAUUUUAUUGCAAUCCCCAUCUGCUGUCUCAGACAAUCUGAAAGCAUUUGUUUGUUUGUUGCAUGGUGAUUUCUCCAAAAUCGUGUUGCUCAUGUAUUGAUGAGACGUUUGGAAUUGUAAAUGCUGGUCAGUCGUUGUUUCAAUGAAACCCCUACUAAGAUGCGUUGAUAUCAAUCGAUAUCAGUAGGUGUCACCGUGGAGAUGGGUGUCGAAGUGUUUCGAAGCCUCGACACAAUUUCGGCACAAUUGCUUCAAACGUUUCAAUGUUUCAUAAAGCCUCGCUUUGCCCAUCACUACCAAACGGGUACAGAUCCAAGACAGACAGGGCGGAGACAAGACAAGCACAGAGCUACACAUGACAGAGUGUAUCACACUACAAAACACCACAAUGACUGGACAAGCACUAAACAGAAUCACCAGGUAUAUAUACACACAGGGACUAACGAGCAGGGCCGGGAGCAACACAGGUGACAUGAGGCUAACGAGACACAGGCAGGCAGAGAGAGAGCAGGGGAAAACAGAGACAGACAUGCAGAGGAAUUACUGGGGUAACAGACACAACACAGGUUAUAUCACAAGAUGUAACAGAUCAGAAACAACAAACUAACUAGACAGACUCAGACGGACAGAUCACAACAAAACUAACACCAACAGGGAAAACAGACAGGACAGAACACAUGUAACAAAAUACCAGACAAGAAUCUAACUUCAGACAAUAACAGAAACCCAU